UGGUGGGUAGUUUGACUGGGGCGGUCUCCUCCUAAAGAGUAACGGAGGAGCACGAAGGUUGGCUAAUCCUGGUCGGACAUCAGGAGGUUAGUGCAAUGGCAUAAGCCAGCUUGACUGCGAGCGUGACGGCGCGAGCAGGUGCGAAAGCAGGUCAUAGUGAUCCGGUGGUUCUGAAUGGAAGGGCCAUCGCUCAACGGAUAAAAGGUACUCCGGGGAUAACAGGCUGAUACCGCCCAAGAGUUCAUAUCGACGGCGGUGUUUGGCACCUCGAUGUCGGCUCAUCACAUCCUGGGGCUGAAGUAGGUCCCAAGGGUAUGGCUGUUCGCCAUUUAAAGUGGUACGCGAGCUGGGUUUAGAACGUCGUGAGACAGUUCGGUCCCUAUCUGCCGUGGGCGCUGGAGAACUGAGGGGGGCUGCUCCUAGUACGAGAGGACCGGAGUGGACGCAUCACUGGUGUUCGGGUUGUCAUGCCAAUGGCACUGCCCGGUAGCUAAAUGCGGAAGAGAUAAGUGCUGAAAGCAUCUAAGCACGAAACUUGCCCCGAGAUGAGUUCUCCCUGAGACUUUAAGUCUCCUGAAGGAACGUUGAAGACGACGACGUUGAUAGGCCGGGUGUGUAAGCG
This 622-nucleotide ribosomal RNA is filed under the name Salmonella enterica. RNAcentral describes it as "partial 23S ribosomal RNA". It matches the Rfam family "Bacterial large subunit ribosomal RNA", at positions 2259 to 2875 of the family's 2925-position model. Lineage: Bacteria; Pseudomonadati; Pseudomonadota; Gammaproteobacteria; Enterobacterales; Enterobacteriaceae. The record is from RNAcentral.